Molecule: ribosomal RNA, 1354 nt
Filed under: Uroleptus gallina
Lineage: Eukaryota; Ciliophora; Spirotrichea; Urostylida; Urostylidae
Description: eukaryotic LSU rRNA
Rfam family: Eukaryotic large subunit ribosomal RNA (bases 505-1354)
Source: RNAcentral
GUCGUAACAAGGUUUCCGUAGGUGAACCUGCGGAAGGAUCAUUAGCACUAAUCCAAUUCAACUCAACAAAGCCUUUAGUUGUAGCGUGGAAACAUGCUGCAGCAACAUACAAAACUAAUAAGUCAAAGAAACUUAACAAAGCAACUAAAACAAAAACCAAAUUCUCAACGGUGGAUGUCUUGGUUCCCACAACGAUGAAGAACGCAGCGAAGUGCGAUAAGCAGUGCGAAUUGCAGAACCGUGAGUCAUCAGAUUUUUGAACGCAACUGGCGCCGUGCGGGGUCACCCGCCGGCACGCCUGGUCCAGUGUCUUGUUUUCUCAUCACCAAAAUCAUAAUGCGAGAGAUACCCUUCUCUCGUCAAGCACGAAAGCACUCUGCGCUCUGCGAGCGGCCUUCGGGUCGCACUCAAUGCAGCAGUCACAUUUUUACAAGUGUGAACUCAUUGAGAGUGGACGCAGCGAGGAGUAAUCUUCAAGUGUUUAGUCACACCAACUUUGGUACGGUAUCUGGGCUCAGGUGGGACCACCCGCUGAACUUAAGCAUAUCACUAAGCGGAGGAAAAGAAACUAACUAGGAUGGCCUCAGUAACGGCGAGUGAAGCGGCCAAAGUCCAAGAUGGUAAUCUCCGUGCUGCGCACGGCGAAUUGUAAUCUAGAGGUGCUAUUCUCACCGGAUAGUGGCGCAGAAGUGCUCUGGAACGGGCCGCCAAAGAGGGUGACAGCCCCGUAUGUGGUGCCACUGUCUAACGAGAAGGUAUCCAAAGAGUCGGGUUGUUUGAUAUUGCAGUCCUAAGUGGGAGAUAAACUUCUUCUAAGACUAAAUAUAUGUGGGAAACCGAUAGCGAACAAGUACUGUGAAGGAAAGAUGAAAAGCACUUUGGAAAGAGAGUCAAAAGACCUGAAACCGUUGAGGAGGAAGCGGUAGAGAUGAAUUCUACGGCGAGGCACGGGGAAGGCGAUCUAACCAUGGCGGGGUGGAGUACGUCAAAGGCGAAGCUUCGUCCAAGGGGAAAUCGGUUACUUGUGCGGCGUUGUGAGGCCGGAUGGGGCGGCGCGACCGCAGAGGCCUUCCAGACCUGGGGUGGCUUGCUGCUCAGUCUGGGAGUGUCGGUGGACGCGCGGCCUGAGGGUGCUUUGUGCGAUCCGGUCAAAAUGGUCUUUACCGACCCGUCUUGAAACACGGACCAAGGAGUCUAACGUACACGCGAGUGUGCCGGUGGAGAAACCGACACGCGCAAUGAAGGUGAGUGAUGCCAAGCGCAAGCAGCAGCAUCGACCGACCAUGAUCCUCUGGUGAAAGGUUUGAGUAAGAGCGUGUCCGCUAGGACCCGAAAGAUGGUGAACUAUGCGUGA